ACUACUAAUAUGAAAAGUUAUCGAUUUAAAUACAUCAUAUAGAUAUUUAUUCAUUUAUUCUGAAAGAUCAAGAAUUCCCCAAGGACAAAUUGAUAAGGUUAUUUAAUGAGAAAAAGGAUUGUACUAAUAAUGACACAUUUUUAAUAUUGAAUUAAAAUAGGAAGAAGCGAUAGAAGAAGAGGUGAUAGAAGAGGAGGAGGUAGAGGUAGAGGAAGAGAAUGUGAUAGAAGAUGAGGAAGACGAAGAAGAAGAUGAAGAGGAAGAAGGAUCGUCGUUAACGAUAGAAAUAAUACCUGGACCAGAGGAUGGGCUGUGUACAGGUCGAAAAGAAAAACCAGAAGAAUCAAGACUGGAACAAGAUUCUGGAGUUCCAACUGAACUAACAGUUCCUGGAUGUAGACUAGAUAUUGCCACAUCCAACCUGAAUCAAAAAUAAAAAGUACAGAUAUUGAAAA
Osmia lignaria (orchard mason bee) is the source of this 455-nucleotide non-coding RNA. The record is from RefSeq and is a predicted model, not a curated record. Lineage: Eukaryota; Metazoa; Arthropoda; Insecta; Hymenoptera; Megachilidae.